UAGGCUCUGAACCGAGAACGUGUACUCGUUCCUCCAUCUUCAGGCUACCAAACCCAACAAUCGAAAGGCCAAAGCCUUCUCUAUAUUUUCCUGACCAAAGGCCGCAAUAUCCUUCGGAGGCCAACGUCGAAUUCCCGACUUAGCCACCGGCCAACUUACGGCUUUCGUUUCUCACUAUCCUUACGACGAAAAAGGAUUGAGAAAACACCGUUGUGUAGCCUGAUCUACCUCGCACGAGGAAGACUAAGUCGUAGACCUUCGCGGCUAAACACCAUCGCGGAACGACGACCAGAAAACCCCCGACGAACAACUUCCAUUAGUGCUCACUUGGACAAGGGUUCAAAUAAACAAAAGCGUCUGAGUAACCUAUCGCGCUAAGGAAAGAGAAUCAUUGUCUUAAGUAGCAAAACACUGCAAUCAGGUUGAGCUGAUGUGAUGAUGGUGCUGCAAUGAGCGGAGUCUCCAGGGUUGUUAAUAAAUAGUUAACCUGUCUAGAAUAUGUCUUCAUACAUAUGUCUAGCUACUUUCCGCUGCAAGAUGUUGUUGAUGUUAUAGUAUGUUAUGUCAUACUUUGAGUCUUAAGAGAAUGGUUUCAUAUGAUGUAUAACUUGAUUAAUGAUAUUAAUUAAGUUUUAUGCUGUCUUUCAUAGACUAUUUUCAA
Salvia miltiorrhiza (redroot sage) is the source of this 661-nucleotide long non-coding RNA. RefSeq lists it as uncharacterized. NCBI's taxonomy places the organism in Eukaryota, Viridiplantae, Streptophyta, Magnoliopsida, Lamiales, Lamiaceae. The record is from RefSeq and is a predicted model, not a curated record. The transcript has 3 exons.